UAAUGUAUGGGGAUCUGCCCGAUAGAGGGGGAUAACUACUGGAAACGGUGGCUAAUACCGCAUAAUGUCUACGGACCAAAGCAGGGGCUCUUCGGACCUUGCACUAUCGGAUGAACCCAUAUGGGAUUAGCUAGUAGGUGGGGUAAAGGCUCACCUAGGCGACGAUCUCUGCUGGUCUGAGAGGAUGAUCAGCCACACUGGGACUGAGACACGGCCCAG
RNAcentral lists this ribosomal RNA (219 nucleotides) under uncultured bacterium. RNAcentral describes it as "partial 16S ribosomal RNA". It matches the Rfam family "Bacterial small subunit ribosomal RNA", at positions 111 to 334 of the family's 1533-position model. The record is from RNAcentral.